RNAcentral lists this transfer RNA (71 nucleotides) under Felis catus (domestic cat). It matches the Rfam family "tRNA". Rfam says of the family: Transfer RNA (tRNA) molecules are approximately 80 nucleotides in length. Their secondary structure includes four short double-helical elements and three loops (D, anti-codon, and T loops). The record is from Rfam by way of RNAcentral. Lineage: Eukaryota; Metazoa; Chordata; Mammalia; Carnivora; Felidae.
ACCUGGCUGGCUCAGCUGGUGGAGCAUGUGACUCUUGAUCUCAGGUUUGUGAGUUCACCCCAUGUUGGGUG